Molecule: ribosomal RNA, 301 nt
Filed under: uncultured bacterium
Lineage: Bacteria
Description: partial 16S ribosomal RNA
Rfam family: Bacterial small subunit ribosomal RNA
Source: RNAcentral
CAGCAGCCACGGGAAUACGAAGGGGGCUAGCGUUGCUCGGAAUGACUGGGCGUAAAGGGCGCGUAGGCGGAUUGUUUAGUUAGGCGUGGAAUUCCUGGGCUUAACCUGGGGACUGCGCUUAAUACAGGCAGUCUAGAGUGUGUCAGAGGAUGGUGGAAUUCCCGGUGUAGCGGUGAAAUGCGUAGAUAUGUGGAGGAACACCAGUGGCGAAGGCGACUCUCUGGUCUGUAACUGACGCUGAGGAGCGAAAGCGUGGGGAGCGAACAGGAUUAGAUACCCCAGUAGUCCCUGUCUCUUAUAC